RNAcentral lists this transfer RNA (89 nucleotides) under Meira sp. (in: smut fungi & allies). RNAcentral describes it as "Meira sp. tRNA-Ser". It matches the Rfam family "tRNA". From Rfam's summary of the family: Transfer RNA (tRNA) molecules are approximately 80 nucleotides in length. Their secondary structure includes four short double-helical elements and three loops (D, anti-codon, and T loops). Lineage: Eukaryota; Fungi; Basidiomycota; Exobasidiomycetes; Exobasidiales; Brachybasidiaceae. The record is from RNAcentral.
GGAUGUGUGACAGAGCCUGGUUUAUUGUGCCUGCCUUGAGUGUAGGAGUCUUUUUACGAAGACCAAGAGUUCGAAUCUCUUCGCGUCCG